This 447-nucleotide ribosomal RNA is filed under the name uncultured bacterium. RNAcentral's name for it is "partial 16S ribosomal RNA". It matches the Rfam family "Bacterial small subunit ribosomal RNA", at positions 29 to 523 of the family's 1533-position model. The record is from RNAcentral.
AACGAACGCUGGCGGCAGGCCUAACACAUGCAAGUCGAACGCCCCGCAAGGGGAGUGGCAGACGGGUGAGUAACGCGUGGGAACCUUCCCAGUGGUACGGAAUAACUGACCGAAAGGUUGGCUAAUACCGUAUACGCCCGAAAGGGGAAAGAUUUAUCGCCAUUGGAUGGGCCCGCGUCGGAUUAGCUAGUUGGUGAGGUAAUGGCUCACCAAGGCGACGAUCCGUAGCUGGUCUGAGAGGAUGAUCAGCCACACUGGGACUGAGACACGGCCCAGACUCCUACGGGAGGCAGCAGUGGGGAAUAUUGGACAAUGGGCGCAAGCCUGAUCCAGCCAUGCCGCGUGAGUGAUGAAGGUCUUCGGAUUGUAAAACUCCUUCGCCGGGGAAGAUAAUGACGGUACCCGGAGAAGAAGCUCCGGCUAACUUCGUGCCAGCCGCCGCCGUAA